CCUCUUUCAGUAGGGAAGAAGCCUUCGGGUGACGGUACCUGCAGAAGAAGCGCCGGCUAACUACGUGCCAGCAGCCGCGGUAAUACGUAGGGCGCAAGCGUUGUCCGGAAUUAUUGGGCGUAAAGAGCUUGUAGGUGGCUUGUCGCGUCUGCCGUGAAAACCCGAGGCUCAACCUCGGGCGUGCGGUGGGUACGGGCAGGCUAGAGUGUGGUAGGGGAGACUGGAACUCCUGGUGUAGCGGUGAAAUGCGCAGAUAUCAGGAAGAACACCGAUGGCGAAGGCAGGUCUCUGGGCCAUUACUGACACUGAGAAGCGAAAGCAUGGGUAGCGAACAGGAUUAGAUACCCUGGUAGUCCAUGCCGUAAACGUUGGGCACUAGGUGUGGGGGACAUUCCACGUUUUCCGCGCCGUAGCUAACGCAUUAAGUGCCCCGCCUGGGGAGUACGGCCGCAAGGCUAAAACUCAAAGGAAUUGACGGGGGCCCGCACAAGCGGCGGAGCAUGCUGAUUAAUUCGAUGCAACGCGAAGAACCUUACCAAGGCUUGACAUGCACCGGACGGUCGCAGAGAUGUGGCUUUCUUCGGACUGGUGCACAGGUGGUGCAUGGUUGUCGUCAGCUC
This 620-nucleotide ribosomal RNA is filed under the name uncultured Brachybacterium sp. RNAcentral's name for it is "bacterial SSU rRNA". It matches the Rfam family "Bacterial small subunit ribosomal RNA", at positions 430 to 1061 of the family's 1533-position model. Lineage: Bacteria; Bacillati; Actinomycetota; Actinomycetes; Micrococcales; Dermabacteraceae. The record is from RNAcentral.